RNAcentral lists this ribosomal RNA (331 nucleotides) under uncultured eukaryote. Its description in RNAcentral is "partial 18S ribosomal RNA". It matches the Rfam family "Eukaryotic small subunit ribosomal RNA", at positions 1470 to 1796 of the family's 1831-position model. The record is from RNAcentral.
CCCUUAGAUGUUCUGGGCUGCACGCGCGCUACACUGAUACUUUCAGCGAGUCCACCACCUUGCCUGAGAGGGUGGGGUAACCUCUGGAAAGUGUAUCGUGAUGGGGAUCGAUUAUUGUAAUUAUUAAUCUUCAACGAGGAAUUCCUAGUAAGCAUGUGUCAUCAGCCCGUGCUGAUUACGUCCCUGCCCUUUGUACACACCGCCCGUCGCUCCUACCGAUUGAAUGGUCCGGUGAAGUGUUCGGAUCGCGGCGACGCGAGCGGUCCGCCGCCCGCGACGUCGCGAGAAGUCCACUGAACCUUAUCAUUUAGAGGAAGGAGAAGUCGUAACA